GGCAAGCCACGCAGAGAGACAAAACACAAACCACUGUUGAGAAAUGUAGGAAAAGAGAAAAAAACAUCUUUCUUGGAAGCACGCGAUAUGGAAUGCCCCCUGUCUUUACUAACAGCUGCAUCCACGGAAGCAGAGGCCAAAGGCAAGGGUGGAGUUAACGGGGAACAAAACACUAUUGAAAAUCGAAAAAAAAUGUAGUGUUUACAAGGAGCUAAAAGACGAGAUUUACCAGAUACCCACGCGUAAUUCACCACAUUAGCGACACAUUCCUCUUCUCUGCUUCUGUCUCGCAUGCUGCGUCCUCUCCCUUGCUCCACAGAUCCUUUCAUCCUUUCCUGCCAAUAUAUUACGACGCAGGCAUUUAGUCUUCCAAAUCCCGUACUACUCUUACCUUGAGAGCGUAAGAGGGUCGCCAAGCUCACAGGAACAAACCAGGAAGACGAUUGGAACAGAAUGAGGACGCAGCAGCAGCAGCAGCAGCAGCUUUUCGGGGAUGAUCAUAACAGCGAGAGCUGCGUCUACGAUCCACCAGCAGCGGAAGGAUCCUUGAGGUUCCAGAUCUCAUUGCGGUCCAAAGAAGGCUUGUUACCGCCACCACCUGGAGCAAUGAAUCGCGGGGUUUUAAAACAGGAGCCAGAAGUAGAGCAGGAACGAGAGCAGUACCUUGUGGCCCCAAGCAGCAAACAGCAGCAGCAGCAGCAGCAGCAAACAAGUCGAUCCUUGCCAUCGCCACCGGGGAUCAAGAACAGGAAGAAGUUCG
RNAcentral lists this long non-coding RNA (760 nucleotides) under Selaginella moellendorffii. RNAcentral describes it as "long non-coding RNA (SMOE_LNC000993)". The record is from RNAcentral. Lineage: Eukaryota; Viridiplantae; Streptophyta; Lycopodiopsida; Selaginellales; Selaginellaceae.